AUUGAACGCUGGCGGAAUGCUUUACACAUGCAAGUCGAACGGCAGCACGGGGCAACCUGGUGGCGAGUGGCGAACGGGUGAGUAAUACAUCGGAACGUGCCCAAUCGUGGGGGAUAACGUAGCGAAAGUUACGCUAAUACCGCAUACGAUCUACGGAUGAAAGCGGGGGAUCGCAAGACCUCGCGCGAAUGGAGCGGCCGAUGUCAGAUUAGGUAGUUGGUGGGGUAAAGGCUCACCAAGCCGACGAUCUGUAGCUGGUCUGAGAGGACGACCAGCCACACUGGGACUGAGACACGGCCCAGACUCCUACGGGAGGCAGCAGUGGGGAAUUUUGGACAAUGGGCGCAAGCCUGAUCCAGCCAUUCCGCGUGCAGGAUGAAGGCCUCGGUUGUAAGCACUUCGUACGGACGAAAUACGCGCGGCGAAUACCCCGCGUCGGAUGACGGUACCGUAACGAAGAAG
Molecule: ribosomal RNA, 462 nt
Filed under: uncultured bacterium
Lineage: Bacteria
Description: bacterial SSU rRNA
Rfam family: Bacterial small subunit ribosomal RNA
Source: RNAcentral